AGGUUAUGAUGUGGGCAUGUUAGAAGUAGCUCAUUGAAGUGCUCCCACACCUCAAAGAAUAGGUCUCCAUCUUUUUGUUAGAAGGUUUGAAUCUCCCUCUUCAAUUG
Alnus glutinosa is the source of this 107-nucleotide small nucleolar RNA. NCBI's taxonomy places the organism in Eukaryota, Viridiplantae, Streptophyta, Magnoliopsida, Fagales, Betulaceae. The record is from RefSeq and is a predicted model, not a curated record.